Molecule: transfer RNA, 69 nt
Filed under: Paracercion v-nigrum
Lineage: Eukaryota; Metazoa; Arthropoda; Insecta; Odonata; Coenagrionidae
Description: tRNA-Gln
Source: RNAcentral
UAUUUCUUGGUGUAGGGAUGCACGAAAACUUUUGAUGUUUUAAGGGCAGUUUAAUUCUGCGAGGAAUAA